GAUGAAGAACGUAGCGAAAUGCGAUAAGUAGUGUGAAUUGCAGAAUUCAGUGAAUCAUCGAAUCUUUGAACGCACAUUGCGCCCUUUGGUAUUCCUUAGGGCAUGCCUGUUCGAGCGUCAUUUAAACCUUCAAGCUCAGCUUGGUGUUGGGUGACUGUCCGCUUCACCGCGGACUCGCCUCAAAAUUAUUGGCGGCCGGUACAUUGGCUCUCGAGCGCAGCAGAAACGCGUAACUCGAGGUCCUCGUGCUGGCUCCCAGAAGCUAUCUUCACAAUUUUGACCUCGGAUCAGGUAGGGAUACCCGCUGAACUUAUGCAUAUCAAUAAGCGGAGGA
This 334-nucleotide unclassified non-coding RNA is filed under the name soil metagenome. RNAcentral describes it as "partial contains 5.8S ribosomal RNA, internal transcribed spacer 2, and large subunit ribosomal RNA". The stretch from base 1 to 120 matches the Rfam family "5.8S ribosomal RNA", at positions 35 to 154 of the family's 154-position model. The record is from RNAcentral.